GAAGUUUAUUAACUCUCAUUUCCUUGGGGAUGUUUCCAGGCAGCUCCUGCUUUCUCUGGAAGGAUUACUCGGUCAAAAGCCAAGAUCCAAGAAGGAAAAUCUAUGAUACCAAUUCUGAUACCAACUGUAUCUAAGUCCUCUAUGGUCAGUGCCCAAGGGCAGAGCGUGCGCUCUACACAGGCAGGACAUAAACAGAUGAGCACAGCCAAAGUGGCUGAAAAAGAGAAAGUGUUGCAGACUGCAGCCCAACCAGCCCCCAGUGUGAGAGUCACCAGAGCAGCUGCCUCUGCAGCCAGG
Molecule: long non-coding RNA, 297 nt
Filed under: Lonchura striata (white-rumped munia)
Lineage: Eukaryota; Metazoa; Chordata; Aves; Passeriformes; Estrildidae
Description: domestica (Bengalese finch) lncRNA (ENSLSDG00000008844.1)
Source: RNAcentral